AUGGAGGAUGAGACGGCGGCACCAGCGGCCAAGAUCCGGAUCAAGACGAACCCGUACAUCCCCCAUGAGGUCGUCACCGAGAUCCUCCUCCGGCUGCCCGUCACAUCACUUCUCCGGUUCAGGUGUGUCUCCAAGGCAUGGCACACCACCAUCUCCAACGAUCCAUCCUUCCAGUGCACGCACCUUCGCCGGCACAGGACCGACGACCCGUGCCUGCUCAUCGCCCCGCGGAUCCAUGCGAUCGGCAAAAAUUUCAACGGUAGCCUCACCGGCCUCUACCAGUGGGAGGAGGACCAUGCCUACGGCACCGCGACGGCCCUCCUGUACCCAAUGCCGGUACCUCCGUUUCCCGAAUUUCUCGAGGCGCACGACCUUGUCCAUUGCGACGGGCUGGUGCUCGUGGGAACCCGGUCCGCAGCGUGGGUGCUCAACCCAGUGAUGCGCCGCGUCGUGGAAUUACCCUGGGGGCGCCUUGGCGGUUCAACGUCCUUCAGCUACCUCGAGGCGUUCGGUCUCGGGCGCGACCCUCGCUCCGACGCCUACAAGGUCGUUCGUUUCUUCAUGCCUCCGCGUGUAGAGGUGUUGACGAUUGGAAGCUCAGAACGGUGCUGGCACGAGACGGUGUCACAACCCCCGUGGUUUCACGUCAAGAGGCGGCCGGCGGCGAUCUGCUUCAAGGGGUCCUUGAUCUGGACAGUUGAUCAAAAGAAUCGUAAUGGUCAAUUGGGUUUUCUGCGGUUUAGGUUGGAUGAAGAAACAUUCAGCCUCAUUCUACCACCUCCUUGCUGGUCAUGGGACGACCACGAGGCAUCCACUUUAUCUGAGUUGAGGGAAGUGCUGUGCUUGACCACAAGUGUAGGGUUAAUGAAUCGAUCCCUUGACAUGUGGAUAUGCACCGACUUGGACCUUCCACAAUGGGAGAAGUGCUACAACAUCCUCUCUGACUGGACCCAACCUCUUCAUCCGGUGGCUAUGUUGGGUAAUGGAGUACUCGUGUGCCGAUCCUCUGGUAAUUAUCUGCACCGCUGCACUUUUCAACCUGGAAAAGGUGUCACGGUCAACCAUACAAUUUGUAUGAAUGACCUAAGAUAUGACAACCUCGACGAGGACACACUUGUUGAAUAUCCAAGCCGAACUGCCACAUACUUUGAUGCAAUCCCCUACGUCCCAAGCUUCGUCUUAAUCUAG
Molecule: ribosomal RNA, 1188 nt
Filed under: Triticum aestivum (bread wheat)
Lineage: Eukaryota; Viridiplantae; Streptophyta; Magnoliopsida; Poales; Poaceae
Description: partial small subunit ribosomal RNA
Source: RNAcentral